CCCGCUGAACUUAAGCAUAUCAAUAAGCGGAGGAAAAGAAACUAACAAGGAUUCCCCUAGUAACUGCGAGUGAAGCGGGAAAAGCUCAAAUUUGUAAUCUGGCGGUCUUGGGCCGUCCGAAUUGUAAACUAGAGAAGCGUUAUCCGCGCUGGACCGUGUACAAGUCCCCUGGAAUGGGGCGUCAUAGAGGGUGAGAAUCCCGUCUUUGACACGGACUACCAGGGCUUUGUGAUGCGCUCUCAAAGAGUCGAGUUGUUUGGGAAUGCAGCUCAAAAUGGGUGGUAAAUUCCAUCUAAAGCUAAAUAUUGGCGAGAGACCGAUAGCGAACAAGUACCGUGAGGGAAAGAUGAAAAGAACUUUGGAAAGAGAGUUAAACAGUACGUGAAAUUGCUGAAAGGGAAACGCUUGAAGUCAGUCGCGUUGGCUAGGGAUCAGCCUUACUCUGGUGGGGUGUACUUCCUUGUCGACGGGUCAGCAUCAGUUUUGGUUGCUGGAUAAAGGCCAGGGGAAUGUGGCACCUUCGGGUGUGUUAUAGCCCUUGGUCAGAUACAGUGGCUGGGACUGAGGAACUCAGCACGCGCAAGCUGUGCUUAGGAUGCUGGCAAAAUGGCUUUAAUCGACCCGUCUUGAAACACGG
Molecule: ribosomal RNA, 637 nt
Filed under: uncultured fungus
Lineage: Eukaryota; Fungi
Description: eukaryotic LSU rRNA
Rfam family: Eukaryotic large subunit ribosomal RNA
Source: RNAcentral